CGCGCAGGCGGCCAUUCAAGUCAGGGGUGAAAGCCCGGAGCUCAACUCCGGAAUUGCCUUUGAAACUGGGUGGCUCGAGUACGGAAGAGGUGAGUGGAAUUCCCAGUGUAGAGGUGAAAUUCGUAGAUAUUGGGAAGAACACCGGUGGCGAAGGCGGCUCACUGGUCCGUUACUGACGCUCAUGCGCGACAGCGUGGGGAUCAAACAGGAUUAGAUACCCUGGUAGUCCACGCCGUAAACGAUGGAUGCUAGCCGUUGGGCAGCUUGCUGUUCAGUGGCGCAGCUAACGCAUUAAGCAUCCCGCCUGGGGAGUACGGCCGCAAGGUUGAA
RNAcentral lists this ribosomal RNA (330 nucleotides) under uncultured bacterium. RNAcentral's name for it is "bacterial SSU rRNA". It matches the Rfam family "Bacterial small subunit ribosomal RNA", at positions 568 to 898 of the family's 1533-position model. The record is from RNAcentral.